GGUCAGGCGGUGGAGACUCAGGUGCGCAAAAAAUUUGGUACUACUGUUCAUUUCUACCCCAAGGGAGAUGCUAAGGAGUUUUUCCUAGUGGUGGCUUUCUCUUCUGCCUCCUUCCCCCUUUCGGUUGAUUCGGUGGGUCUUGCUUUACAAUGUUGCAUUGGU
RNAcentral lists this ribosomal RNA (162 nucleotides) under Triticum aestivum (bread wheat). Its description in RNAcentral is "partial small subunit ribosomal RNA". Lineage: Eukaryota; Viridiplantae; Streptophyta; Magnoliopsida; Poales; Poaceae. The record is from RNAcentral.